CUACGUAGCUCAGAGUUUGAUCCUGGCUCAGGAUGAACGCUAGCGGGAGGCCUAACACAUGCAAGCCGAGCGGUAUAGAGUAGCUUGCUACUCUAGAGAGCGGCGCACGGGUGCGGAACACGUGUGCAACCUGCCUUUAUCUGGGGGAUAGCCUUUCGAAAGGAAGAUUAAUACCCCAUAAUAUAUUGAGUGGCAUCAUUUGAUAUUGAAAACUCCGGUGGAUAGAGAUGGGCACGCGCAAGAUUAGAUAGUUGGUGAGGUAACGGCUCACCAAGUCAAUGAUCUUUAGGGGGCCUGAGAGGGUGACUCCCCCACACUGGUACUGAGACACGGACCAG
RNAcentral lists this ribosomal RNA (338 nucleotides) under uncultured bacterium. RNAcentral's name for it is "bacterial SSU rRNA". It matches the Rfam family "Bacterial small subunit ribosomal RNA", at positions 1 to 334 of the family's 1533-position model. The record is from RNAcentral.